CGUUCAUCGAGAUCGGCGGAGGGACUGGCCCUUUGAUGCCGAGGCAACCACAGCAUGCGCUGACGGUGCCAACUCCAGCGGGAAUGAUCCCGGGAGAUGAGCU
RNAcentral lists this non-coding RNA (103 nucleotides) under Lysobacterales bacterium. RNAcentral's name for it is "Xanthomonadales bacterium SAM-I sequence". It matches the Rfam family "SAM riboswitch aptamer (S box leader)". Rfam says of the family: The SAM riboswitch is found upstream of a number of genes which code for proteins involved in methionine or cysteine biosynthesis in Gram-positive bacteria. Lineage: Bacteria; Pseudomonadati; Pseudomonadota; Gammaproteobacteria; Lysobacterales. The record is from RNAcentral.